Molecule: long non-coding RNA, 3200 nt
Filed under: Macaca mulatta (Rhesus monkey)
Lineage: Eukaryota; Metazoa; Chordata; Mammalia; Primates; Cercopithecidae
Description: lncRNA (ENSMMUG00000054178.1)
Source: RNAcentral
CUCCAGGAAGCCCACCUGGCCUGCUCUGUACCUUGGAGCCUCCCAGGCAUGGCUGGCACCCCCAUCAGAAGUUACCUGUUUGGAUAUGGUCCCCCCAUUGCCUUCUGUGGGCUCCCAUGUGUCCUGGUGAUGACCUCAGGCUGCACAUGGUCUCAUGUCCAGGGCCCUGCCAUUCGAGGCCACACCCUCUGAGCAGCUUGGGCUCCAGCACCCCCCGCUGAGAUUCCUAGGUCAGUGCCAGCCUCAGACUUAGGAAGGUGGGCAUGUGGGAGGUAGGGAAGGCCAGGGUUGUCAUGGCAAAACCCUGUACCCACUCUGUCUUCCCACCCCCCUGAGAACCCCUCAGAACAGGCCUGGGCCACCUCCUCUGGGCCAGACUUAAAGAAAGGCCUGCCCAGCCCCAGCAGGUGAGCUGGAACCCUUCUCCCCAGAUAAGCCACGCCCCAUGCUCUCCCCCACCUCCAUCAAGGCUGGGGUGCAGCCGAGGAGAUCCAGCAGAGGCCGAGGCUCUGAGUGGGAUGCUCGAAACCUGUGGGCUGUGCAACCUCCUCACCUCCCUGAGCCUCGCUUGCCCGUCUGUGAAAUGGGGCUGAAGACCUGAGGUGAACAGAGAAAUAAAUGGGCCUUUGAGAAGGGACAAUACAGUAUAACAAAGCUGGAAUUCAACCUGCCCUUGGAACAUCCCCUCACCCUGGAGGCCUGACUUCAUGGCCACCUCAUGAGGGGACCUUUGUAGUUGAAGACCCUCCGAUCUUAUGCGGGGUGGGGCUGGGCCUGGAACCUGCCACAGUGCUGCUCUGAAAGGCACACGUGUCUCACAUUCACUGGUAUAAAAUGACAGACGUGGAACGGGAAAUCGAGCUCCCUGCAUUCCUGCAUGCAUGGCACCUGCACAGUUCCUUCCCGUUAUUGUCCUGUGUGACACCCCCCCCAGUGAGGUCACAGUACUGGGAUCGCCCCCACAGGCAGAGUGCUCAGGAAUGUGGAGCGUGCCUGGGAUCUGCCCUCCAGCCAUGAGGUCUACGCCCUCUGCUUCCUCCAUCCAGGCCCUGAACGCCAUCUGUGGUCCCAAGAAGCAGCGUCCCAGUGCCCUAUCCAGCUUCCACCCCCAAGCCUUUCCUGAGCCCCUGCUGGGCCAGGCUCUGAGCUGGGCGUGGAGAAGGAGGGGAAGGCUGAAGCCCAGCCCUCCCGGCACCUGUAGGCAGGAGUGUACCCAACUCUCAGACCUCAGAGUCAGCCAUGGCAGGCGCAAGUCAACUUCAGCUCAGCCUGGUGGGCUGCGGCUGAGCGACGGUCCUGAAUGGCGGCUCAGCGAUCAAUAUCAUUGUGUGACUGCGAGAGGAAGAAAGAGUUCAUCCUGACAUGCUCAUUCUGCCGACCGCCACCGAGCACCUCCUGGGGACCUCGCCCCAGCUGGCUAGUGGCCUCUAAACCAAGCUGCGUCAGUCAGGGAGACACCUAAGCUAUUGUAACAAAGCACCCCCAAAUACAGUGGCUAAAACAAGACAGAACAUUUGUCUCCCUCCUGCAACAGUCCAGCCAGCGCAGGCCUCGAGGGCAGCUCUGCUCCUUGGGAACACUCAGGGGCCCAGGCUCUUUGGCCUGUGGCUCUGCCCUCACCCGGGGGUGGGUGUCCUCAUCUGCAAGACUGAGGUGCAGCGGCACGUACUGCAUCCCAGCCCAGGAGGGGCAAAGGCAGUCAUGGGCUGACAGCUUCCUAUGGAGAACACAAGGAGACACUGCCCACACCACUUCUCAAAUUCCAGGGCUGAGGAUUUUGUCUUGUGGUCCCCCUUGGCUGCAAGAGAGGCUGGGACGUGCCAUCCACUCCUGGCUGGCCAUGUGCCCAGCAUCUGGAGGGACAACCUUCCUUUGGCGGCAAGAAUGAAGCCUACCCAAUGCGUCUCAAUGUGGGCUCCCCUGCAGCCGAGAGUGUGCACUUCCUGGAGCUGCUGUAACUAAUUACCACCAGCCUGGGUUAAAGUCACAUCCCUGGGCCAAAACCAAGGAGCCAGCAGGGCCACGCUUGCCCCAGAGGCUAUGGUGGAGCCUUCCUCACCUCCGCCGGAAGCUGGUGGCUGCCUCCCUCCAACCUUUGCCUCCGGGGCCUCACAGCCUCCUUUCUGUCUGUAGUCAAACCUGCCUCUGCCUCCCUCUUGUAAGACCUCACAUGAUUGCAUUGGGGGACCACCUGGAUAAUAAUGUCCCUAAAGAUUCUUAAUUUCAUCACAGCUACAAUGUCCUUUUUCCCCAUAAAAAGUAGGUUCCGGGCAUGAGAACAUUGAUACUUUGGGGGCAUUUCUUCUGCCUACGAGGCAGAUCCCAAGGCAGUAACUCAGGGCAGGCGUGUUCUUGGGACGUGAUCCCAGGAAACACCAUGGGAUGGGGGAGGAAGAGAGACUUGGAAGGUGGGAAGCCGGAGUGGCGUUGUCAAGCACCCAGCAUCCUGGAAGCCACCGGGGCGUGAUCCCACUGGGUCACCCCAUCAGAGGGAUAGGGCUGAGCUGUCUGUCCCCGCCCCCAAAUCACAGGUCAAGGCUGCUCCCAGGAAAGCUGGAUUCCCUGGUAGCUUCAGCAGUGGCCAGAGAUCCCCCCAGAGAGAGAAACACAGGUGAUGGCAGGUGAAGAAUAGGAAUGACGAGAGCCCAAGUGCGGGGUGAGGGGGCAAGAGUAUCUGCGCUCAGCCCACCCUCCGGAGCCUGUUGACUGUAAACUGGGAGGGCGACAGAAAGAAACCCAGACGGAAAUGCCGUUAGGAAAGGGAAAUUUGCAGGGAGCUCUGACAGUAUCGAGGUGGGCGGGGGACACUCUGUGUCCAUUCUGUGACCUGAGAUGGCCUCUCAGGGAAUGACGCUGAAGCAGGGGCUAGGCAGGCCUUAGGAGCAGUGUGUGCAAAGGCCCUGUGGCAGGAAAAGCCCCAGCCCCUAAGGACCAUGAAACAUCAGCCCAGGAGGCCUGUGGCUGGUGAGCAGUGAGCCGAGAGGAGGCCGAGGGCACCGGCGAGACAGGGGAAAUGUGGGGGACGUGUAGGAGCCAGCCCCUUUCUCCUGCCUGGGGCCAUGGCCUGACAUUCCUUCCUCUGCCAUCAGCAUUACCCCCUCCCCCCAGCAGCUCCCCCACUACACACUGGCCUUUGCUUUCUCCUUCAGCAGAUCAGGAAAGCCCCGCCUUCCUGAGGGACAGAGAAGGGUGUCCGGCAG